GUGCCUUCGGGAACUGUGAGACAGGUGCUGCAUGGCUGUCGUCAGCUCGUGUUGUGAAAUGUUGGGUUAAGUCCCGCAACGAGCGCAACCCUUAUCCUUUGUUGCCAGCGAUUCGGUCGGGAACUCAAAGGAGACUGCCGGUGAUAAACCGGAGGAAGGUGGGGAUGACGUCAAGUCAUCAUGGCCCUUACGAGUAGGGCUACACACGUGCUACAAUGGCGCAUACAAAGAGAAGCGACCUCGCGAGAGCAAGCGGACCUCAUAAAGUGCGUCGUAGUCCGGAUCGGAGUCUGCAACUCGACUCCGUGAAGUCGGAAUCGCUAGUAAUCGUGGAUCAGAAUGCCACGGUGAAUACGUUCCCGGGCCUUGUACACACCGCCCGUCACACCAUGGGAGUGGGUUGCAAAAGAAGUAGGUAGCUUAACCUUCGGGAGGGCGCUUACCCACUUU
RNAcentral lists this ribosomal RNA (450 nucleotides) under Pantoea ananatis. RNAcentral describes it as "bacterial SSU rRNA". It matches the Rfam family "Bacterial small subunit ribosomal RNA", at positions 1014 to 1463 of the family's 1533-position model. The record is from RNAcentral. Lineage: Bacteria; Pseudomonadati; Pseudomonadota; Gammaproteobacteria; Enterobacterales; Erwiniaceae.